GGGGAAUAUUGCACAAUGGGCGCAAGCCUGAUGCAGCGACGCCGCGUGAGGGAUGGAGGCCUUCGGGUUGUGAACCUCUUUCGCUCAUGGUCAAGCCGCAACUCGUGGUUGUGGUGAGGGUAGUGGGUAAAGAAGCGCCGGCUAACUACGUGCCAGCAGCCGCGGUAAUACGUAGGGCGCGAGCGUUGUCCGGAAUUAUUGGGCGUAAAGGGCUUGUAGGCGGUUGGUCGCGUCUGCCGUGAAAUCCUCUGGCUUAACUGGGGGCGUGCGGUGGGUACGGGCUGACUUGAGUGCGGUAGGGGAGACUGGAACUCCUGGUGUAGCGGUGGAAUGCGCAGAUAUCAGGAAGAACACCGGUGGCGAAGGCGGGUCUCUGGGCCGUUACUGACGCUGAGGAGCGAAAGCGUGGGGAGCGAACAGGAUUAGAUACCCUGGUAGUCCACGCUGUAAACGUUGGGCACUAGGUGUGGGGGCCACCCGUGGUUUCUGCGCCGUAGCUAACGCUUUAAGUGCCCCGCCUGGGGAGUACGGCCGCAAGGCUA
This 542-nucleotide ribosomal RNA is filed under the name uncultured bacterium. Its description in RNAcentral is "bacterial SSU rRNA". It matches the Rfam family "Bacterial small subunit ribosomal RNA", at positions 356 to 896 of the family's 1533-position model. The record is from RNAcentral.